UGUCAGCCGCCGCGGUAAAACCAGCACCUCGAGUGGUCAGGAGGUUUAUGGGCCUAAAGCAUCCGUAGCCGGUUGCAUAAGUUUUCGGUUAAAUCUANNNGCUUAACGUAUAGGCCGCCGAAAANNNNGUGCAGCUAGGGAGUGGGAGAGGUACACGGUACUCGAUAGGAAGGGGUAAAAUCCUUUGAUCUAUUGAUGACCACCUGUGGCGAAGGCGGUGUACCAGAACACGUUCGACGGUGAGGGAUGAAAGCUGGGGGAGCAAACCGGAUUAGAUACCCGGGUAGUCCCAGCUGUAAACGAUGCAGACUCGGUGAUGCAUUGGCUUG
Molecule: ribosomal RNA, 329 nt
Filed under: uncultured archaeon
Lineage: Archaea
Description: partial 16S ribosomal RNA
Rfam family: Archaeal small subunit ribosomal RNA
Source: RNAcentral